AUACGUAGGGUGCAAGCGUUAAUCGGAAUUACUGGGCGUAAAGCGUGCGCAGGCGGUUUUGUAAGACAGUGGUGAAAUCCCCGGGCUCAACCUGGGAACUGCCAUUGUGACUGCAAGGCUGGAGUGCGGCAGAGGGGGGUGGAAUUCCGCGUGUAGCAGUGAAAUGCGUAGAUAUGCGGAGGAACACCGAUGGCGAAGGCAAUCCCCUGGGCCUGCACUGACGCUCAUGCACGAAAGCGUGGGGAGCAAACAGGAUUAGACACCCUGGUAGUCCACGCCCUAAACGAUGUCAACUGGUUGUUGGGGAUUUAUUUUCUCAGUAACGAGGCUAACGCGUGAAGUUGGCCGCCUGGGGAGUACGGCCGCAAGGUUAAAACUCAAAGGAAUUGACGGGG
This 395-nucleotide ribosomal RNA is filed under the name uncultured bacterium. RNAcentral describes it as "partial 16S ribosomal RNA". It matches the Rfam family "Bacterial small subunit ribosomal RNA", at positions 523 to 918 of the family's 1533-position model. The record is from RNAcentral.